AACGAACGCUGGCGGCAGGCCUAACACAUGCAAGUCGAACGAACCGUUUACGGUGAGUGGCGCACGGGUGAGUAACACGUGGGAAUAUACAUUUCGGUAAGGAAUAACGUAGAGAAAUUUACGCUAAUACCUUAUAAUGACUACGGUCCAAAGAUUUAUCGCCGAAGGAUUAGCCCGCGUUAGAUUAGGUAGUUGGUAGGGUAAUGGCCUACCAAGCCUACGAUCUAUAGCUGGUCUUAGAGGAUGAUCAGCCACACUGGAACUGAGACACGGUCCAGACUCCUACGGGAGGCAGCAGUGAGGAAUAUUGCGCAAUGGGGGAAACCCUGACGCAGCCAUGCCGCGUGAGUGACGAAGGCCUUAGGGUUGUAAAGCUCUUUCAGAUGUAAAGAUAAUGACGGUAACAUCAGAAGAAGCUCCGGCUAAAUUCGUGCCAGCCGCCGCGGUAA
RNAcentral lists this ribosomal RNA (449 nucleotides) under uncultured bacterium. Its description in RNAcentral is "partial 16S ribosomal RNA". It matches the Rfam family "Bacterial small subunit ribosomal RNA", at positions 29 to 523 of the family's 1533-position model. The record is from RNAcentral.